UUAUCCAAGGAAGUCUUCGUAAUCAAUUAAAAAUUGCGAAAGGAUGGAGAUAUCCCAACAUCCAAACAGGGACUUGAGUAGAGGGAGAAGAACGGAGAAGAAGACGGACUUGGACAUUCUGAAGUCUUCAGUCACACUCUUAAUCUGGCUCUCACUCUCUCCUUCUGCAAUCUUCCGCUCCAUGGCCAAUGCGAUCGUUUGGGGAGAACGCUCUGUUCUAUGGUCUCUCGAUCCUCGACGGAAACCUCAAGCUUUUUCGAACUGGUCUCCUCAAACUUCGUUCUUUAGGGUUUUUGUCCCAAAAUUUGAUUUUUUUUUGGUUCGAUGGCUAAGCGGCUCUCACUGUUCGGUUCUAUCUUUAAGAAUGCAUGUAAUUUCAAUGUUAAAUGUGAAUAUUUCUUUGCAUUUCAUAUAGUUUGUGAAUAUUCCCCGGACCCCGCUCAACGGGAUGCUUUGUGCACCGGGCUGCCCUUUGUGAGUAUUCUAGAUGAAUGAUGGCAUACUUCCCUUACAGUAAUCAGAUAGGUGUGAUGGAUGUUGUGUUUUUUGCUAUUCAGCUAUUUAAUCUAUAGCUUUACGGAACUAUAUUCCUUUUGCCCAAGAAGAAAGUAAAUUUAUGUAUGCUUUUAUCUUUGCUUGGCAGUGGCAUGUUUUAGUUUUCUUUCUUUGAUUUUUUUUUUUUUUUAUGGAGGGAGAUAAUCAUCAGAGGUAGCAUUUUCAUAUGCAUCCUAAGCGAUCAAGUCAAGGAGAUGGGCCAAUUACUAAGCCAGUCGGAAGUAGUGAUAGGCUUAGGAGGAGAGGAGGUCCAGAAUGUAUGGUCACUUGUACUAUUAUUACACUCGAACCAGCUUACCUAGUAGGGAA
Molecule: long non-coding RNA, 864 nt
Organism: Tarenaya hassleriana
Lineage: Eukaryota; Viridiplantae; Streptophyta; Magnoliopsida; Brassicales; Cleomaceae
Exons: 2
Source: RefSeq, a predicted model, not a curated record